UAGGGAAUCUUCGGCAAUGGACGAAAGUCUGACCGAGCAACGCCGCGUGAGUGAAGAAGGUUUUCGGAUCGUAAAACUCUGUUGUUAGAGAAGAACAAGUGGGAGAGUAACUGUUCCCACCUUGACGGUAUCUAACCAGAAAGCCACGGCUAACUACGUGCCAGCAGCCGCGGUAAUACGUAGGUGGCAAGCGUUGUCCGGAUUUAUUGGGCGUAAAGCGAGCGCAGGCGGUUUCUUAAGUCUGAUGUGAAAGCCCUCGGCUCAACCGAGGAAGGUCAUUGGAAACUGGGGAACUUGAAUGCAGAAGAGGAGAGUGGAAUUCCAUGUGUAGCGGUGAAAUGCGUAGAUAUAUGGAGGAACACCAGUGGCGAAGGCGACUCUCUGGUCUGUAAUUGACGCUGAGGCUCGAAAGCGUGGGGAGCAAACA
RNAcentral lists this ribosomal RNA (427 nucleotides) under uncultured bacterium. Its description in RNAcentral is "bacterial SSU rRNA". It matches the Rfam family "Bacterial small subunit ribosomal RNA", at positions 355 to 774 of the family's 1533-position model. The record is from RNAcentral. RNAcentral also lists the same sequence under 1 other name.